AAUGCGCAGAUAAUCAGGAGGAACACCGAUGGCGAAAGCAGGUCUCUGGGCCGCAACUGACGCUGAGGAGCGAAGCAUGGGAGCGAACAGGAUUAGAUACCCUGGUAGUCCAUGCCGUAAACGUUGGGCACUAGGUGUGGGGCUCAUUCCACGAGUUCCGUGCCGCAGCAAACGCAUUAAGUGCCCCGCCUGGGGAGUACGGCCGCAAGGCUAAAACUCAAAGGAAUUGACGGGGGCCCGCACAAGCGGCGGAGCAUGCGGAUUAAUUCGAUGCAACGCGAAGAACCUUACCAAGGCUUGACAUGCACGAGAAGCCACCAGAGAUGGUGGUCUCUUUGGACACUCGUGCACAGGUGGUGCAUGGUUGUCGUCAGCUCGUGUCGUGAGAUGUUGGGUUAAGUCCCGCAACGAGCGCAACCCUCGUCCCAUGUUGCCAGCGGGUUAUGCCGGGGACUCAUGGGAGACUGCCGGGGUCAACUCGGAGGAAGGUGGGGAUGACGUCAAAUCAUCAUGCCCCUUAUGUCUUGGGCUUCACGCAUGCUACAAUGGCCGGUACAAAGGGCUGCGAUACCGUAAGGUGGAGCGAAUCCCAAAAAGCCGGUCUCAGUUCGGAUUGGGGUCUGCAACUCGACCCCAUGAAGUCGGAGUCGCUAGUAAUCGCAGAUCAGCAACGCUGCGGUGAAUACGUUCCCGGGCCUUGUACACACCGCCCGUCAAGUCACGAAAGUCGGUAACACCCGAAGCCCAUGGCCCAACCGUUCGCGGGGGGAGUGUCGAAGGUGGACCGGCAAAUUUCCC
RNAcentral lists this ribosomal RNA (798 nucleotides) under Cellulosimicrobium sp. WBQ_4M. Its description in RNAcentral is "bacterial SSU rRNA". It matches the Rfam family "Bacterial small subunit ribosomal RNA", at positions 685 to 1481 of the family's 1533-position model. Lineage: Bacteria; Bacillati; Actinomycetota; Actinomycetes; Micrococcales; Promicromonosporaceae. The record is from RNAcentral.